RNAcentral lists this ribosomal RNA (253 nucleotides) under uncultured bacterium. RNAcentral describes it as "partial 16S ribosomal RNA". It matches the Rfam family "Bacterial small subunit ribosomal RNA", at positions 524 to 776 of the family's 1533-position model. The record is from RNAcentral.
UACGAAUGCGGCUAGCGUUGUUCGGAAUCACUGGGCGUAAAGCGCGCGCAGGCGGAUCGAUAAGUCGGGGGUGAAAGCCCGGGGCUCAACCUCGGAAUUGCCUUCGAUACUGUCGGUCUCGAGUCCGGGAGAGGUGAGUGGAAUUCCUAGUGUAGAGGUGAAAUUCGUAGAUAUUAGGAAGAACACCAGUGGCGAAGGUGGCUCACGGGCCCGGUACUGACGCUCAGGUGCGAAAGCGUGGGGAGCAAACAGG